Molecule: unclassified non-coding RNA, 244 nt
Filed under: uncultured fungus
Lineage: Eukaryota; Fungi
Description: partial contains 5.8S ribosomal RNA, internal transcribed spacer 2, and large subunit ribosomal RNA
Source: RNAcentral
AACGCACAUUGCACCUUCUGGUAUUCCGGAGGGUAUGCCUGUUCGAGCGUCAUUUCAACCCUCAAGCUCAGCUUGGUAUUGGGUGUCACCUGGCAAUGGUGCACCUUAAAAUCAGCAGCGGUGCUAUCUGGCUUCAAGUGUAGUAAAACAAUCGCUUUGGAGGUUUGGAUAUGUUGCUUGCUAAUAACCCCUAAUUUAUUCAAAGGUUGACCUCGGAUCAGGUAGGGAUAUCCGCUGAACUUAA